This 498-nucleotide ribosomal RNA is filed under the name uncultured bacterium. RNAcentral describes it as "partial 16S ribosomal RNA". It matches the Rfam family "Bacterial small subunit ribosomal RNA", at positions 30 to 523 of the family's 1533-position model. The record is from RNAcentral.
AUUGAACGCUGGCGGCAUGCCUUACACAUGCAAGUCGAACGGUAACAGGUCUUCGGAUGCUGACGAGUGGCGAACGGGUGAGUAAUACAUCGGAACGUGCCUAGUAGUGGGGGAUAACUACUCGAAAGAGUGGCUAAUACCGCAUGAGAUCUACGGAUGAAAGCAGGGGAUCGCAAGACCUUGUGCUACUAGAGCGGCCGAUGGCAGAUUAGGUAGUUGGUGGGAUAAAAGCUUACCAAGCCGACGAUCGGUAGCUGGUCUGAGAGGACGAUCAGCCACACUGGGACUGAGACACGGCCCAGACUCCUACGGGAGGCAGCAGUGGGGAAUUUUGGACAAUGGGCGAAAGCCUGAUCCAGCAAUGCCGCGUGCAGGAUGAAGGCCUUCGGGUUGUAAACUGCUUUUGUACGGAGCGAAAAGCCCCGGGUUAAUACCCUGGGGUCAUGACGGUACCGUAAGAAUAAGCACCGGCUAACUACGUGCCAGCAGCCGCAGUAA